GGUGGCUUGAGGAAAACAAAGAUCAAGGAUGAUGAAUUGAUUUGUGUUGAUGCUCUGAAGUAACCAAAAUAAGCAGCGAGCCCCAUUGGAAAGGUCAUUUGUCAAUUGGACUCCCUUCAGAGCCUAGUUUGAUGCUAGAGCUUCAACAUCAACACUUCGCAGUGUAUUUCAUCGACAAUCUUUCACCCAGAUGUUGACAUUAGAGACUCCUCCUGCUGUGUACGCAUCAAUGGAGCAUGGUGUUGCUGCAGCAAUAGCAAGUUCAACUGCUUUAACAGAAGAGGGGCUUGUCACUCCAAAUCAUGAAUGUGCACCUGUUGUGGAUGAAAAUCAUGAUUAUUUGUAUGCGGUAAGUGACUAUUCUAUUAUAUGUCAAUCUAAAAUUCAAUUUUUGUAUAUGCUAACAUCAUUCUUUUCAUUGUAUCAAGUGGAGUUACAAAAAAGUCUGGAGAGGAGGUUGAGUGGUCGUACUCGAAAGACACUUGCAUCAUAUACAUCUCCAUUCCCUUGAUAGGCAAAUAUAUCUCGUGAUCUGUUUCCUUCCCCUAGAGGGAAAUGAAUAGAAUAGGGUCCUAUGUUGUAUGCCUAUAUGGGAAUUUUGAACAUAUGUUUUGUAUUACAAAUAUGUGACAUUUUAUGUCCAUAUGGCUUUUGGCAAGCUCCUAUUUGACUUUAUUGGAUACCAUGUUGUA
Long non-coding RNA from Cryptomeria japonica (Japanese cedar), 692 nucleotides. RefSeq lists it as uncharacterized. The record is from RefSeq and is a predicted model, not a curated record. Lineage: Eukaryota; Viridiplantae; Streptophyta; Pinopsida; Cupressales; Cupressaceae. The transcript is spliced from 4 exons.